UACGUAGGCAGCAAGCGUUGUUCGGAAUUACUGGGCGUAAAGAGUGUGUAGGCGGUGCUCUAAGUUUGUCGUGAAAUCUCUCGGCUUAACUGGGAGGGUGCGGCGAAAACUGGAGUGCUAGAGGGUGGGAGAGGAAAGCGGAAUUCCUGGUGUAGCGGUGAAAUGCGUAGAUAUCAGGAGGAACACCUGCGGUGAAGGCAGCUUUCUGGACCACUUCUGACGCUGAGACACGAAAGCGUGGGUAGCAAACAGG
RNAcentral lists this ribosomal RNA (253 nucleotides) under uncultured bacterium. Its description in RNAcentral is "partial 16S ribosomal RNA". It matches the Rfam family "Bacterial small subunit ribosomal RNA", at positions 524 to 776 of the family's 1533-position model. The record is from RNAcentral.